CCUACGGGAGGCAGCAGUAGGGAAUAUUGCUCAAUGGGGGAAACCCUGAAGCAGCAACGCCGCGUGAAGGAUGAAGGUUUUCGGAUUGUAAACUCCUUUUGUUAGAGAAGAUAAUGACGGUAUCUAACGAAUAAGCACCGGCUAACUCCGUGCCAGCAGCCGCGGUAAUACGGAGGGUGCAAGCGUUACUCGGAAUUACUGGGCGUAAAGAGCGCGGAGGCGGGAAAGCAAGUCAGAUGUGAAAUCCUAGGGCUUAACCAUAGAACUGCAUUUGAAACUGUUAUUCUAGAGUAUGGGAGAGGCAGGUGGAAUUCGUGGUGUAGGGGUAAAAUCCGUAGAGAUCAAGAGGAAUACUCAUUGCGAAGGCGACCUGCUAGAACAUAACUGACGCUGAUGCGCGAAAGCGUGGGGAGCAAACAGGAUUAGAUACCCGAGUAGUC
Molecule: ribosomal RNA, 440 nt
Filed under: uncultured bacterium
Lineage: Bacteria
Description: partial 16S ribosomal RNA
Rfam family: Bacterial small subunit ribosomal RNA
Source: RNAcentral